GCUCUCCUGCCCGUGGUGGUGCUUCCGGCGUCUCCCCUGUGCUACUGCCGGCGAACACGUCCCCGAGCACCUGCUGCCUACCACCUCGACGACUAGCCGCUGCCGGUCAAUGGAGCAACUUUUGGCAGAUCUCGCUACUACCGUUGUCAUCGUGCUACUACUAGGACCUCUACUUCGAGAAGGAAUUAGGGCUCGACCUGUUGGUGUGUUCUUGGGUGGUGCCCUCGCUGCCCAUGUUCACCACCGACGAGUCUGUAACCGGAGAGGGCGCCGCUGUCCUGCUUCUUGGCUGUGGACGACCUCGAGCAUGAGGUCUCCAGGUUGGACACGCUCGCCGGCAUCACCGUCAAUUUUAGGGUGGAGAGGGAGUGGAUAUGUUGGACAAGUCAGUGGAGAAGUUCCUGGAGCAUUAUGCCUGCUGCUCCAGCAUCUGCUUGUGCUCUGUCACCGCCGUUGUCUUCAAGAUCAAAUGGAGCAACUUGUGAGCUUGUGGCCGAUCUCGCUACUACCGUUGUCAGCAUGCUACUAGUAGGACCUCUACUUUGAGAAGGAAGUAGGGAUUGUCCUGUUGGUUGGUUCUUGUGUGGCGCCCUCGCUGCCCGUGUUCAUCACCGAUGAGUCUGAAACCUGAGAGGACGCUGCUGUCCUGCUUAUUUGCCGUGGAUGACCUCGAGCACGAGGUCUCUAGGAUGGACACACUCGCCGACAUCACCAUCAAACCUUGAUGGUGGUGAUGUUCACAUUUGUUUGCAGUUUGAUUACAUUGAGCCAAAACUGAGCUAUAUCAUUAUUUACUUCUCUGCAGAUUCGUAGCCAAAACUGAGCCAAAUCUGUGUUCUAGGUCUGUUUCUAUUUGCUUUUCUUGAUAUAUUGGUAGGCCUGUUUAUGAUCUCUAGGAAUAAUCAUCUAGCUAUUUUACACGCAACGACAGUAGUCAUCUAGCUUUUUUUUCUCUUUCUUAAUGUAUAUGGGCUGAAGAACUUCAUGCUUGCUCAUAUUUUAGCAAUUGCAUGACUCCGAAUAUGUAUAGUUGAUCAUGAACUUGAUUUCCAAUAAUAGCUGUUUUAGUCAUCGAGUCAUGCCCUGUGUAGGGCCGUUGAGCCGUUGGACUUUAAGAAGUUUUUGGUGCUUUACUAGUACUGGAAUGUGUGGUUGCAGUUGUAGUUGAUCUUGUCAACGUUAAACAUACUAGUCGAAUUGGAUUGUAUGUUUGAAUGUCUAGAGGCAUGCUGUAUGUACUUUUCUGGCAUUUGUAUUGUGGUCCUGGAUGUCUAGAGAAGGGCAAAGAUCAUGGCAGAAUUUUGAAUACUUGCUAAUUGAACUUGCAGUGUUUUAGUAAGUCUAACUCUUAGUGGCUUUGAAUUGAUAGUAUUUGGCUGUUGCUCGUGAUGAAGUAGUGCCACUGCAAUGUAUUUGGCCAAGUUGACUAACUGCAAUUUAUUCGUGAAUAUUCAUCAUCACAUUUUCGCCACUAGCUGCUGCUCUGACUAUUUCUUGAUAUUUCAUUGGCAUGCCUGUGGACAUGUGUUUCCUGACACUAAUGAAAAGUGUGCAAAUUCUAUUUGCAGGAUGGAAAAGCGGAGCUGGAGGUGGCCUUCUUCCUGUAUAUACGUCUAGGUAUGUUUACUUGAGUAUCCCUGCUGUGAUAUACAGUGGCAUCUAGAGCUAUGGCUAAAGUGUGAACCGGCCAUCGAGGAGAUGAUGAUGCUGGUUUAGGUUCAGUUUUGGUGGUUGUGUAACCAGGAUGUGGUCCUGGCACUAAGUGCAGUUC
Molecule: long non-coding RNA, 1771 nt
Organism: Lolium rigidum
Lineage: Eukaryota; Viridiplantae; Streptophyta; Magnoliopsida; Poales; Poaceae
Exons: 4
Source: RefSeq, a predicted model, not a curated record